ACCAGUGAUAUUGUUGGCUUUUUUCAAAACUACCUCUACCCUUUUUUUUUUGGGAAAAUAUGCAUAAUUUUCAUCAAAUUGGGAAAUUUAGAAGAAAUCAUAAAUUUGACUGAAACUUCAAUUUACUUUCAAGAGUCAAACCCUGCUUUGAAAUAACACCCCUUUUUGUCAGUGAUGAUACACAAAUAGACCCUCAAAUCUGCACAUAUAGUAAUUUGAUGCAUGAAAAAUGUAUAAAUGAGUGUUUUUCAGUUUGAAUUCAUGCACAAUUACUACUGAGACUACACUGUUUGGGAAAAAAGUUGUCUUUUUGGGAAUAAUUUAAGCCAUUUUUUUUUUCAAAUUGGGAUUUUUCUCCAGGGGAAAAAGC
This 370-nucleotide long non-coding RNA is filed under the name Mytilus galloprovincialis (Mediterranean mussel). Lineage: Eukaryota; Metazoa; Mollusca; Bivalvia; Mytilida; Mytilidae. The record is from RNAcentral.